RNAcentral lists this ribosomal RNA (215 nucleotides) under Sebacinales sp. RNAcentral describes it as "partial small subunit ribosomal RNA". Lineage: Eukaryota; Fungi; Basidiomycota; Agaricomycetes; Sebacinales. The record is from RNAcentral.
UGGGCAAUCCGCAGCGAAGUCCCUAUUAUAGGGAGCGCGUUCAGAGACUAGAUGUUUGUGGGUCGCCGAGUCGUCGGUUGCUUAAGGUAUAGUCCGGCCCGUCCCGAAAGUGUCUGGGGUUCAAAUGUAGAUGUUCUGGGCCGCACGCGCGCUACACUGACAGAGCCAGCGAGUUUAUCACCUUGGCCGGAAGGUCCGGGUAAUCUUGUGAAACU